GAAUCUGGCUUUAGGUCUGGGACAACCACUGGAAACGGUGGCUAAUACCGGAUGUGCCGAGAGGUGAAAGGUUAACUGCCUGAAGAUGAGCUCGCGUCUGAUUAGCUAGUAGGUAGUGUAAUGGACUACCUAGGCGACGAUCAGUAGCUGGUCUGAGAGGACGAUCAGCCACACUGGGACUGAGACACGGCCCAGACUCCUACGGGAGGCAGCAGUGGGGAAUUUUCCGCAAUGGGCGAAAGCCUGACGGAGCAAUACCGCGUGAGGGAGGAAGGCUCUUGGGUCGUAAACCUCUUUUCUCAGGGAAGAACACAAUGACGGUACCUGAGGAAUAAGCAUCGGCUAACUCCGUGCCAGCAGCCGCGGUAAUACGGAGGAUGCAAGCGUUAUCCGGAAUGAUUGGGCGUAAAGCGUCCGCAGGUGGCUAUGUAAGUCUGCUGUUAAAGAGUCUAGCUCAACUAGAUAAGAGCAGUGGAAACUACAUGGCUAGAGUGCGUUCGGGGCAGAGGGAAUUCCUGGUGUAGCGGUGAAAUGCGUAGAGAUCAGGAAGAACACCGGUGGCGAAGGCGCUCUGCUAGGCCGCAACU
RNAcentral lists this ribosomal RNA (587 nucleotides) under Nostoc sp. K1.3. Its description in RNAcentral is "bacterial SSU rRNA". It matches the Rfam family "Bacterial small subunit ribosomal RNA", at positions 122 to 741 of the family's 1533-position model. The record is from RNAcentral. Lineage: Bacteria; Bacillati; Cyanobacteriota; Cyanophyceae; Nostocales; Nostocaceae.